RNAcentral lists this non-coding RNA (24 nucleotides) under Arabidopsis thaliana (thale cress). Lineage: Eukaryota; Viridiplantae; Streptophyta; Magnoliopsida; Brassicales; Brassicaceae. The record is from RNAcentral.
AGGGUACAACUGGUAUAUCACAUU